CGUGCGGCGCGGCGCGCGGUGCGCCGGCGGACGGCGGCGCGCCGGCGAGCGCGGCAGGGGCGGCGGGUGCGCCGACGCCGGCCGCCGUCGAUGCGGCCGAGCGCGCGCGCGUGCUCGAGCUGUUUCGCACCGAAGACUGAGCGGGGACGGCCAUGCAUACGCUCUACCUGAUCGCGAUCGUCGCCGAGGCGAUGUCGGGCGCGCUGAUGGGCAUGCAGCGCGGGAUGGACCGGUUCGGCCUCGCGCUCGUCGGCGCGGUGACCGCGCUCGGCGGCGGCACGGUGCGCGACGUGCUGCUCGGCCGCUAUCCGCUGACCUGGGUCGCGCACCCCGAAUACCUGCUGCUGACGCUCGCGGCGGCGACGUUCGCAUCGAUGACGGCGACGCACGUCGCGCGGCUGAAGUCGCUGUUCACGGCCGUCGACGCGCUCGGGCUCGCGGCGUUCUCGAUCAUCGGCUGCGAUGUCGCGGCGGCCGUGAACGGCAGCCCGGUCGUGAUCGUGCUCGCGGGCGCGAUCACCGGCGUUUGCGGCGGGAUGCUGCGCGACCUGCUCUGCAACGAGAUGCCGCUCGUGCUGCGCAAGGAGCUGUACGCGAGCAUCGCGCUGCUGACGGGUGGGCUGUAUGUCGGCAUGAAGGCGAUCGGUGCCGCGCAAGGUUUCGCGACCGUCGUCGCGCUGGCCGUGGGAUUCGCGCUCAGGAUGCUCGCCGUGCGGCGCGGCUGGCGGCUGAAGGCGUUUCAGGCGGCCGACGCCGGGUGACACGUCGCCGCGGGCGCGGCGGCCGCUCAUGUGCCGCUCGCGCGUCGUUCACGCGGGCACGAUGACGGGCGCGACGCCGUCGCCCGCGUCGACGAGCCGCACGCGAAAGCCGUAGCACCGCGCGAUCGGCUCGGGGCGCAGCACGUCGGCGGGCGCGCCUUGCGCGACGAUCGCGCCGUCCGCGAGCAUCGCGAUGCGAUCCGCGUGGCGCGCGGCGAGAUUCGGAUCGUGGACGAUCGUCAGCACGCCGAGGUUCCAGUCGCGCGACAGGCGUCGAACCGUGUCGAGCAAUUGAUGCUGAUGCGCGAGGUCGAGCGCGGCGGUCGGCUCGUCGAGCAGCAGGUAGCGCGGCGGCUGCGCCGCGCCGGGCGGCGGCCAGAGCUGCGCGAGCACGCGCGCGAACUGCACGCGGGCAAGCUCGCCGCCCGAGAGCGUCGUCACGUCGCGCGCAUCGAGCGCCGUUGCGCCGGCGAGCGCGAGCGCCUGCGACGCGAUCUCGCCGUCCGCAUGCGUGAGCGCGCCCGCGCGGCGCGCGUGCGGGUAGCGCCCGAGCAGCACGAUCUCGCGCGCGCUGAACGCGAACGCGGGCCGCGACGCCUGCGGCAGCACCGCCCGCAGCCGUGCGAGGCGCGGCGCGUCG
This 1401-nucleotide ribosomal RNA is filed under the name Burkholderia mallei 2002721280. Its description in RNAcentral is "16S ribosomal RNA". Lineage: Bacteria; Pseudomonadati; Pseudomonadota; Betaproteobacteria; Burkholderiales; Burkholderiaceae. The record is from RNAcentral.